CACUCCUACGGGAGGCAGCAGUGGGGAAUAUUGCACAAUGGGCGCAAGCCUGAUGCAGCCAUGCCGCGUGUAUGAAGAAGGCCUCGGGUUGUAAAGUACUUCAGCAGUGAGGAAGGUGGGUAUGUUAAUAGCAUAUUCAUUUGACGUUAGCUGCAGAAGAAGCACCGGCUAACUCCGUGCCAGCAGCCGCGGUAAUACGGAGGGUGCGAGCGUUAAUCGGAAUUACUGGGCGUAAAGCGCAUGCAGGUGGUUUGUUAAGUCAGAUGUGAAAGCCCGGGGCUCAACCUCGGAAUUGCAUUUGAAACUGGCAAACUAGAGUACUGUAGAGGGGGGUAGAAUUUCAGGUGUAGCGGUGAAAUGCGUAGAGAUCUGAAGGAAUACCGGUGGCGAAGGCGGCCCCCUGGACAGAUACUGACACUCAGAUGCGAAAGCGUGGGGAGCAAACAGGAUUAGAUACCCCGGUAG
This 465-nucleotide ribosomal RNA is filed under the name uncultured bacterium. RNAcentral describes it as "bacterial SSU rRNA". It matches the Rfam family "Bacterial small subunit ribosomal RNA", at positions 334 to 793 of the family's 1533-position model. The record is from RNAcentral.